GAUGAACGCUGGCGGCGUGCCUAAUACAUGCAAGUCGAGCGAACAGAUGAGGAGCUUGCUCCUCUGACGUUAGCGGCGGACGGGUGAGUAACACGUGGAUAACCUACCUAUAAGACUGGGAUAACUUCGGGAAACCGGAGCUAAUACCGGAUAAUAUAUUGAACCGCAUGGUUCAAUAGUGAAAGACGGUUUUGCUGUCACUUAUAGAUGGAUCCGCGCCGCAUUAGCUAGUUGGUAAGGUAACGGCUUACCAAGGCAACGAUGCGUAGCCGACCUGAGAGGGUGAUCGGCCACACUAGAACUGAGACACGGUCCAGACUCCUGCGGGAGGCAGCAGUAGGGAAUCUUCCGCAAUGGGCGAAAGCCUGACGGAGCAACGCCGCGUGAGUGAUGAAGGUCUUCGGAUCGUAAAACUCUGUUAUUAGGGAAGAACAAAUGUGUAAGUAACUAUGCACGUCUUGACGGUACCUAAUCAGAAAGCCACGGCUAACUACGUG
Molecule: ribosomal RNA, 497 nt
Filed under: uncultured bacterium
Lineage: Bacteria
Description: partial 16S ribosomal RNA
Rfam family: Bacterial small subunit ribosomal RNA
Source: RNAcentral